This is a long non-coding RNA of Oreochromis niloticus (Nile tilapia), 559 nucleotides long. RefSeq lists it as uncharacterized. NCBI's taxonomy places the organism in Eukaryota, Metazoa, Chordata, Actinopteri, Cichliformes, Cichlidae. The transcript has 2 exons. The record is from RefSeq and is a predicted model, not a curated record.
CACCGGGGACGUUGACUCGUAGCAGGGGAGAAUGUAGCCAAGUGAACUGAAACUAUGCAUGGAAAGGGUUUAAAAAGAGGGGCUUGUGUUUAUGGCUGGUUGCCUGUCUACCAGAGGUCUGUUGUAGAGUUGUCAUGGUGAUGACUAGACCUCGCGUUUUGGGGGUAUACUGUCCCUUUAAGAGCCGCUGUAAGCCGGAGCACGCAUGCACUCAAGUUUGCGUCACACACUGAGCGCUGUGAGCGGGAGCACUGGAGAGUCAGAGGCUGCAAACGACUCUGUGGCUAGCUACACAAGAGGUAAAUGUGCUUAAAAAGUGUAGCAUACUGCAAAAUAUUGUCACCAGUGUUGUAGUAGACUGUAAUUAGCUAAGUUUCUUUAGCGAUGACUCCAUGUUUGUGACCAUUUCUGUAGAGUUCUUAACGCGCGACGGGUGUAUGUUUAAUGGUCACGUGCUGUGAGAGGGACUGACUGAAGAGCGGGUUGGCAGGGGAGAUCACUUGCUGUGUGAUUCCUGCGUGUGUACUUGUCCUAGCAGUGGCUGUGUGGAGAAACCAAA